This 1372-nucleotide ribosomal RNA is filed under the name uncultured bacterium. Its description in RNAcentral is "bacterial SSU rRNA". It matches the Rfam family "Bacterial small subunit ribosomal RNA", at positions 28 to 1381 of the family's 1533-position model. The record is from RNAcentral.
GAUGAACGCUGGCGGCGUGCCUAAUACAUGCAAGUCGAGCGAACGGACGAGAAGCUUGCUUCUCUGAUGUUAGCGGCGGACGGGUGAGUAACACGUGGAUAACCUACCUAUAAGACUGGGAUAACUUCGGGAAACCGGAGCUAAUACCGGAUAAUAUUUUGAACCGCAUGGUUCAAAAGUGAAAGACGGUCUUGCUGUCACUUAUAGAUGGAUCCGCGCUGCAUUAGCUAGUUGGUAAGGUAACGGCUUACCAAGGCAACGAUGCAUAGCCGACCUGAGAGGGUGAUCGGCCACACUGGAACUGAGACACGGUCCAGACUCCUACGGGAGGCAGCAGUAGGGAAUCUUCCGCAAUGGGCGAAAGCCUGACGGAGCAACGCCGCGUGAGUGAUGAAGGUCUUCGGAUCGUAAAACUCUGUUAUUAGGGAAGAACAUAUGUGUAAGUAACUGUGCACAUCUUGACGGUACCUAAUCAGAAAGCCACGGCUAACUACGUGCCAGCAGCCGCGGUAAUACGUAGGUGGCAAGCGUUAUCCGGAAUUAUUGGGCGUAAAGCGCGCGUAGGCGGUUUUUUAAGUCUGAUGUGAAAGCCCACGGCUCAACCGUGGAGGGUCAUUGGAAACUGGAAAACUUGAGUGCAGAAGAGGAAAGUGGAAUUCCAUGUGUAGCGGUGAAAUGCGCAGAGAUAUGGAGGAACACCAGUGGCGAAGGCGACUUUCUGGUCUGUAACUGACGCUGAUGUGCGAAAGCGUGGGGAUCAAACAGGAUUAGAUACCCUGGUAGUCCACGCCGUAAACGAUGAGUGCUAAGUGUUAGGGGGUUUCCGCCCCUUAGUGCUGCAGCUAACGCAUUAAGCACUCCGCCUGGGGAGUACGACCGCAAGGUUGAAACUCAAAGGAAUUGACGGAGACCCGCACAAGCGGUGGAGCAUGUGGUUUAAUUCGAAGCAACGCGAAGAACCUUACCAAAUCUUGACAUCCUUUGACAACUCUAGAGAUAGAGCCUUCCCCUUCGGGGGACAAAGUGACAGGUGGUGCAUGGUUGUCGUCAGCUCGUGUCGUGAGAUGUUGGGUUAAGUCCCGCAACGAGCGCAACCCUUAAGCUUAGUUGCCAUCAUUAAGUUGGGCACUCUAAGUUGACUGCCGGUGACAAACCGGAGGAAGGUGGGGAUGACGUCAAAUCAUCAUGCCCCUUAUGAUUUGGGCUACACACGUGCUACAAUGGACAAUACAAAGGGCAGCGAAACCGCGAGGUCAAGCAAAUCCCAUAAAGUUGUUCUCAGUUCGGAUUGUAGUCUGCAACUCGACUACAUGAAGCUGGAAUCGCUAGUAAUCGUAGAUCAGCAUGCUACGGUGAAUACGUUCCCGGGUCU